RNAcentral lists this ribosomal RNA (876 nucleotides) under uncultured bacterium. RNAcentral describes it as "bacterial SSU rRNA". It matches the Rfam family "Bacterial small subunit ribosomal RNA", at positions 63 to 945 of the family's 1533-position model. The record is from RNAcentral.
CGAGGGGUUCAGGUUUUCGGACCUAGAGACCGGCGCACGGGUGCGUAACGCGUAUGCAAUCUACCUUUUACAGAGGGAUAGCCCAGAGAAAUUUGGAUUAAUACCUCAUAGUAUUACGACUCGGCAUCGAGAUGUAAUUAAAGUCACAACGGUAAAAGAUGAGCAUGCGUCCCAUUAGCUAGUUGGUAAGGUAACGGCUUACCAAGGCAACGAUGGGUAGGGGUCCUGAGAGGGAGAUCCCCCACACUGGUACUGAGACACGGACCAGACUCCUACGGGAGGCAGCAGUGAGGAAUAUUGGUCAAUGGGCGCAAGCCUGAACCAGCCAUGCCGCGUGCAGGAUGAAGCAUCUAUGGUGUGUAAACUGCUUUUGUACGAGAAGAAACACUCCUUCGUGAAGGAGCUUGACGGUAUCGUAAGAAUAAGGACCGGCUAACUCCGUGCCAGCAGCCGCGGUAAUACGGAGGGUCCAAGCGUUAUCCGGAAUCAUUGGGUUUAAAGGGUCCGUAGGCGGUUUUGUAAGUCAGUGGUGAAAGCCCAUCGCUCAACGGUGGAACGGCCAUUGAUACUGCAAGACUUGAAUUAUUGGGAAGUAACUAGAAUAUGUAGUGUAGCGGUGAAAUGCUUAGAGAUUACAUGGAAUACCAAUUGCGAAGGCAGGUUACUACCAAUAUAUUGACGCUGAUGGACGAAAGCGUGNGGAGCGAACAGGAUUAGAUACCCUGGUAGUCCACGCCGUANACGAUGGAUACUAGCUGUUCGGAGCAAUCUGAGUGGCUAAGCGAAAGUGAUAAGUAUCCCACCUGGGGAGUACGUUCGCAAGAAUGAAACUCAAAGGAAUUGACGGGGGCCCGCACAAGCGGUGGAGCAUGUGGU